Molecule: long non-coding RNA, 520 nt
Organism: Triplophysa dalaica
Lineage: Eukaryota; Metazoa; Chordata; Actinopteri; Cypriniformes; Nemacheilidae
Exons: 4
Source: RefSeq, a predicted model, not a curated record
AGACACUGCACGCAGGGUGAUGAGGUACGUCCGGUAAAAUCUCAGCCGGCAAACCCACUUCCGCUCUCAUAGGGUUGUCGCAAAAGUUUCGCUUAAGUAGCGGAAGAGAGGCGGGGCUAUCAGACGCUCCUCGAGCAAAACUCUUCUGCAGAGUGAUAAUGCUUCAAUCCGACGAUGACUAAGGUGAUGUUGCCUUGGACGGCAGGUGAGGUUUUGAGAGUGUCGUGAUUAAUGCUCUGUCAGGGGUUCAGGAGCGAAUGUGCUGAAGGCUGAAACAUCUGAUUUGCAUAUAUACUCCAAAUAAAAGCUGAGUGAACAUCAAACUCCUCUUUUCCCAUCUUGAUGUUAAAAGUUGUGAGGAGGCCUGGAGAGGGGACACUCUUUAGGCGUAGACUAUAAAGAUGUGCGCCGGUCCCUUAAGAGAGGCUGACUCAUCCAACGAGUGCACACGAGAGUCAUUUAUCGAUAAAUCCCAUGCACAAUUUGUAUUUUCACCAUGUCCCCGAACAAGAUGUCAGCU